GUCGAGCGGUAAGGCCUCUUCGGAGGUACACGAGCGGCGGACGGCUGAGUAACACGUAGGAACGUACCCCAAACUGAGGGAUAAGCACCAGAAAUGGUGUCUAAUACCGCAUGUGCUCUAAGGAGUAAGGCUUCGGCGGUUUGGGAACGGCCUGCGUCCGAUUAGCUUGUUGGUGAGGUAAUAGCUCACCAAGGCGACGAUCGGUAGCUGGUCUGAGAGGAUGAUCAGCCAGACUGGGACUGAGAACGGCCCAGACUCCUACGGGAGGCAGCAGUAGGGAAUUUUCCACAAUGGGCGAAAGCCUGAUGGAGCAACGCCGCGUGCAGGAUGAAUGCCUUAGGGUUGUAAACUGCUUUUAUCUGUGACGAAUAUGACGGUAGCAGAUGAAUAAGGAUCGGCUAACUCCGUGCCAGCAGCCGCGGUCAUACGGAGGAUCCAAGCGUUAUCCGGAAUUACUGGGCGUAAAGAGUUGCGUAGGUGGCAUUGUGUGUCGGUAGUGAAAGCGUGUGGCUCAACCAUAUAUACAUUAUCGAAACUGC
RNAcentral lists this ribosomal RNA (539 nucleotides) under uncultured Candidatus Saccharibacteria bacterium. RNAcentral's name for it is "bacterial SSU rRNA". It matches the Rfam family "Bacterial small subunit ribosomal RNA", at positions 61 to 636 of the family's 1533-position model. The record is from RNAcentral. Lineage: Bacteria; Candidatus Saccharimonadota.